RNAcentral lists this small nuclear RNA (158 nucleotides) under Copidosoma floridanum. RNAcentral's name for it is "U1 spliceosomal RNA". It matches the Rfam family "U1 spliceosomal RNA". From Rfam's summary of the family: U1 is a small nuclear RNA (snRNA) component of the spliceosome (involved in pre-mRNA splicing). Its 5' end forms complementary base pairs with the 5' splice junction, thus defining the 5' donor site of an intron. There are significant differences in sequence and secondary structure between metazoan and yeast U1 snRNAs, the latter being much longer (568 nucleotides as compared to 164 nucleotides in human). Lineage: Eukaryota; Metazoa; Arthropoda; Insecta; Hymenoptera; Encyrtidae. The record is from RNAcentral.
GUAUUUACCUGGCGUAGAGAUAACCGUGAUCAACAAGGCGGUUUCUCCAGGACGAGGCCUAUCCAUUGCACUACGGAUGAGUUGACCCUUGCAAAUAUCCCUUAUGUGGAUAUCUUGGACGUUUUAUUUUUGGUAGCCAAUUGUAUUAUUAUACAAGU